UGCCGGUCACACUCGUCAAGACGACAACGGACCUGCGAGGGCGCUAGCAAUGCAGGAGAGGGCACAAGCCUUGAAGCUGUGGCGCAAGCAUGCAUGAAGCACCUUGAACACAUCAGAGUGAACAGGGGGGUUAUCAAAAGAGAUAACAUUGGUUUCUUCGCUCUACGUACUGAUGCACGCCUCAGAGAGCUACCAGUGCACGUUGCACAAGAUUUAAUGCAUGCAGUAGAACUUAUGCUGUAUGAAGCAGAGGUGAAACUGCGUUAGAGCAGUGAAGCAACUUGAAGUGUUUAUAUAAUGCCAAUGACAGCCACCUUUUUUAUCUUGUGUUCACUUCUCUAGUCCCAACUUAAAGGGGCCAAGACUGGUCACCCAAGAAUUGACGGUUAUUAGCAAAAACAAAACUACAGAGUCAAAUGUGCUAGUACACGUGUCAAAAGAGGCCUUAAGAUAUUAUUUUAGUCAAAAAUAAGCCGUAGAAAUGCUCGGCUCUUAAAACUCAACCUACCACAAGUGACCGCUGUUUUGUCAUGGCGUGCGAGACGUCGCAAGCUGAAGGAGCAGUGGCAAAUGAUAUGUGCAUUGCACAUUCACAGGACCCAUUUUGACGUCCGAAAUUAUUUGCUGCAAGUACUAGCGCUACAUUGCUGAAGCAGUAGCCAUGUUUCGACCCCUGGAAGUCAUUUAGUUUUAGUGGCGAGUUCAACAAUGCGGAAAAAUUUUAUUGCAAGCGCAGUUGACGGCGGAACACGACCGUCUGCCAGAAUGCACAAUGUGCAGCAGCUUGUCGAGCAAGCGGUUCACGAUGUCAUGGAUAGUGAGUACGUCAGCAUUGCCCAACUGUCAGGCCACUAGCUUGUUUAUAAAAAUAUGCGAUUAAAAAUUAAUAGCUUGACCAAAUCGCUCGAAUUUUGCCCGCUUGUAAGUGAACAUACAAGUAUCAUCCCAUACAACACACGUUAUGGUUGAAAAUUAGGUGUCAUGACCCCUUUAAGGCAACUUAUUUCUUUAAUAAUUGUAGCGAUAACCGUGAAAUACCUCAAAUAUUUUAACAUAAAUUAUUUAUUUUCGUGUUUUCAUGGUUGUAUUUGGACAUGACAGUUUUCCCUGUAAUGUAUCUGUUGUGUCACUGGUGAUUUUUCUCUUCUUUGUUUAGCUUAAGAAGAUGCUAAGUACAUAAGUUUUGUGAGCAAUAAAAUGCAUUUACAACCCA
This 1213-nucleotide long non-coding RNA is filed under the name Rhipicephalus microplus (southern cattle tick). RNAcentral describes it as "uncharacterized LOC119163002". Lineage: Eukaryota; Metazoa; Arthropoda; Arachnida; Ixodida; Ixodidae. The record is from RNAcentral.